UACGUAGGUGGCAAGCGUUGUCCGGAAUUAUUGGGCGUAAAGCGCGCGCAGGCGGUCCCUUAAGUCUGAUGUGAAAGCCCACGACUCAACCGUGGAGGGUCAUUGGAAACUGGGGGACUUGAGUGCAGAAGAGGAAAGUGGAAUUCCAUGUGUAGCGGUGAAAUGCGUAGAGAUGUGGAGGAACACCAGUGGCGAAGGCGACUUUCUGGUCUGUAACUGACGCUGAGGCGCGAAAGCGUGGGGAGCAAACAGG
Molecule: ribosomal RNA, 253 nt
Filed under: uncultured bacterium
Lineage: Bacteria
Description: partial 16S ribosomal RNA
Rfam family: Bacterial small subunit ribosomal RNA
Source: RNAcentral